UUUGUGUUUGACAAUACCUUCGGUCUUGUACCUACGUACCAAUAUAUAAAUGAGGGAUCAAAACCUCGUAGUUUGUGAUACAAAUUUCAAAAUGAGUGCACUGCUUUUAACAAAAUUUAAGUUUGAAAGGCACAAAGGCCUAAAAUGAAUUGGAUGAGUUAGUUCUUUUUGGCUUUUUUGAUGGUUUAAGUCAAGUAUAGUUAAGUUUAUUUACAAGUUUG
Molecule: long non-coding RNA, 221 nt
Filed under: Lathyrus oleraceus (garden pea)
Lineage: Eukaryota; Viridiplantae; Streptophyta; Magnoliopsida; Fabales; Fabaceae
Description: Pisum sativum (pea) long non-coding RNA (PSAT_LNC014072)
Source: RNAcentral